RNAcentral lists this ribosomal RNA (494 nucleotides) under uncultured bacterium. Its description in RNAcentral is "partial 16S ribosomal RNA". It matches the Rfam family "Bacterial small subunit ribosomal RNA", at positions 28 to 507 of the family's 1533-position model. The record is from RNAcentral.
GACGAACGCUGGCGGCGUGCUUAACACAUGCAAGUCGAACGGUGAAGCGCCUUCCUUUUUGGUGGGUGUGGAUGAGUGGCGAACGGGUGAGUAACACGUGAGUAACCUGCCCCCUUCUUCUGGAUAACCGCAUGAAAGUGUGGCUAAUACGGGAUAUUCUGGGUCUGUCGCAUGAUGGGUCUGGGAAAGAUAUUGUUUCGGUGGGGGAUGGGCUCGCGGCCUAUCAGCUUGUUGGUGGGGUGAUGGCCUACCAAGGCGGUGACGGGUAGCCGGCAUGAGAGGGUGGACGGUCACACUGGGACUGAGACACGGCCCAGACUACUACGGGAGGCAGCAGUGGGGAAUAUUGCACAAUGGGCGCAAGCCUGAUGCAGCGACGCCGCGUGAGGGAUGGAGGCCUUCGGGUUGUGAACCUCUUUCGCCAGUGAAGCAGGCCUGCCUCGUUUGUGGGUGGGUUGACGGUAGCUGGAUAAGAAGCGCCGGCUAACUACGUG